Long non-coding RNA from Hibiscus syriacus, 197 nucleotides. RefSeq lists it as uncharacterized. The record is from RefSeq and is a predicted model, not a curated record. NCBI's taxonomy places the organism in Eukaryota, Viridiplantae, Streptophyta, Magnoliopsida, Malvales, Malvaceae. The transcript has 3 exons.
AUGAAACUAAAUUUGAAUUCUUCUACUGCUCUCUCCAUUGCUUUCUCUCUACUGUAACUUGUAUUGCAAGCUGAAUCUUUUAUUAUGGUUAUGCAGUAUGCGGGGUGUAAUUAUUAAGAAGAAGCUCCCUUGAUCAAUAAUGGCUGGUGUGAUAAUGAUGUUUCACAAGAUGGUAAAGGCAGCAAUUUCCUUUCCUG